This 148-nucleotide non-coding RNA is filed under the name Gorilla gorilla gorilla (western lowland gorilla). Lineage: Eukaryota; Metazoa; Chordata; Mammalia; Primates; Hominidae. The record is from Rfam by way of RNAcentral.
GCCGGGUGUGGUGGCACACACCUGUAGUCCCAGCUACUUGGGAGGCUAAGGUGGGAGGAUCGCUUGAGCCCAGGAAGUCUAGGCUGCAGUGAGCCAUGAUUGCAUCACUGCACUCCAGCCUGAGCAACAGAGAAAGACCUUGUCUCAA